AGUGAACGCUGGCGGUAGGCCUAACACAUGCAAGUCGAACGGCAGCACAGGAGAGCUUGCUCUCUGGGUGGCGAGUGGCGGACGGGUGAGGACUACAUCGGAAUCUACUCUGUCGCGGGGGAUAACGUAGGGAAACUUACGCUAAUACCGCAUACGACCUACGGGUGAAAGCAGGGGACCUUCGGGCCUUGCGCUAUCGAACGAGGCGAUGUCGUAUUAGCUAGUUGGCGGGGUAAAGGCCCACCAAGGCGACGAUCCGUAGCUGGUCUGAGAGGAUGAUCAGCCACACUGGAACUGAGACACGGUCCAGACUCCUACGGGAGGCAGCAGUGGGGAAUAUUGGACAAUGGGCGCAAGCCUGAUCCAGCCAUACCGCGUGGGUGAAGAAGGCCUUCGGGUUGUAAAGCCCUUUUGUUGGGAAAGAAAUCCAGCUGGCUAAUACCCGGUUGGGAUGACGGUACCCAAAGAAUAAGCACCGGCUAACUUCGUGCCAGCAGCCGCCGUAA
RNAcentral lists this ribosomal RNA (506 nucleotides) under uncultured bacterium. RNAcentral's name for it is "partial 16S ribosomal RNA". It matches the Rfam family "Bacterial small subunit ribosomal RNA", at positions 29 to 523 of the family's 1533-position model. The record is from RNAcentral.